GCGGGGGUGCCUUUCCAAAGCACGUCUUAAUUCUGUUCAUUCCACCUUCCCUGCUCCUCCCUCCACAAAUUGUUUUUAAACUUAAUGAAAAUAUCUGGGCACCGCGGCCCAUACCCUCGCGGGCCGAGCCCCGGUUCUGUAAGCUUCCUCACCCUCAGUCUUUCCUUUCCUUUGCCAGCAGCAUCUGCGCAGGUGCGAUGGGACAGCGCCUCACCUCACCUCAUGAGAUGCCGCAGGGACCCCCUCAGCUGUUCAAACAGUUUUUGCAAACUGUGGAGGUCAGGGAGUGGACACCCCACAGGGAAUCCCAAAAUAUUGCCAUCUCCCAGCUCUUCAGCAGGACGUUCUCGAGGAGUACCGCAAGGCUCAGAUGGGGUUCCCAAUGGAGGGGACCCCAGUUGCCACAGCAGUGAUCAGCCUGAUCGCCUUCCUUUGUACACUAUUCCUGGUCUCCCGCCACUAUUUCUUGGGAUCAUUUCCCAAAAUAAACUAUCAGCCUAGGAGCCAUUAUCUCAGGCUUUGGGACUCAGGUGCAGCCAGGUCAAGACCACUGGCACCGGGAGUGGUUCUAAGAACCAGAGGUUGCACAGGGAGCAGUGGUACAUGCUUGUAAUCCUAGCACUCUGGUAGGCUGAGGGAGCAACAUCACAAGUUCAAAUCCAGCCUGUGCAAUUUAGCAAGUCAGUGAGACCUGUUUCAAAAUUUUUUAAAUGUCUGGGCUGUAGGUCAGUGCAAAGGCCCUGGGUUCAAUCUCCAGGACAAUGAGAAAGAAAAGAAAGAAAGAAGGAAAGAAAGAAAGAAAGAAAGAAAGAAAGAAAGAAAGAAAGAAAGAAAGAAAGAAAGAAAGAAAGAAAGAAAGAAAGAAAGAAAGAAAGAAAGAAAGAAAGAAAAGAAAGAAGGAAGGAAGGAAGGAAGGAAGGAAGGAAGGAAGGAAAGAAAGAAAGAAAGAAAGAAAAGAAAAGAAAGCCCCAGCUGAGAAGAGGGACUUUGCUGACCGGUUGGCUUCCUCAGAAUACUUUACCCUUGAAAGGCAGCGAUUGGUUCUCUCUGGAACCAGGUAUCAGUUUGCUGAUCUCCCUGCCCACAGGACCACUGCCAGCACCACCGUCCAGGACAUGAGAUCCUGUGUGGCAAUGCCUCAGAUUAGGGGAGACUCUGGGCAAAGGGUGGCAACAAUGAGUGCCCAACCACAGACCCACAGACGGAUGCUUCGAUCCUGCCAUCAGCCCAUGUCAUCUGCCCCAACUUGUGGACUCCUGGUGACCCUGGGAAGCAGCAGAGAUAAAGGUCCUGGUCGAGCCACCUUAUCACGACACCUUGUGACCAUGGCCCAGAUGUUCCAGACAGGCC
RNAcentral lists this long non-coding RNA (1350 nucleotides) under Fukomys damarensis (Damara mole-rat). RNAcentral's name for it is "lncRNA (ENSFDAG00000033588.1)". Lineage: Eukaryota; Metazoa; Chordata; Mammalia; Rodentia; Bathyergidae. The record is from RNAcentral.